AUUGAACGCUGGCGGCAGGCCUAACACAUGCAAGUCGAGCGGAUGAAGGGAGCUUGCUCCUGGAUUCAGCGGCGGACGGGUGAGUAAUGCCUAGGAAUCUGCCUGGUAGUGGGGGAUAACGUCCGGAAACGGGCGCUAAACCGCAUACGUCCUGAGGGAGAAAGUGGGGGAUCUUCGGACCUCACGCUAUCAGAUGAGCCUAGGUCGGAUUAGCUAGUUGGUGGGGUAAAGGCCUACCAAGGCGACGAUCCGUAACUGGUCUGAGAGGAUGAUCAGUCACACUGGAACUGAGACACGGUCCAGACUCCUACGGGAGGCAGCAGUGGGGAAUAUUGGACAAUGGGCGAAAGCCUGAUCCAGCCAUGCCGCGUGUGUGAAGAAGGUCUUCGGAUUGUAAAGCACUUUAAGUUGGGAGGAAGGGCAGUAAGUUAAUACCUUGCUGUUUUGACGUUACCAACAGAAUAAGCACCGGCUAACUUCGUG
RNAcentral lists this ribosomal RNA (483 nucleotides) under uncultured bacterium. RNAcentral's name for it is "partial 16S ribosomal RNA". It matches the Rfam family "Bacterial small subunit ribosomal RNA", at positions 30 to 507 of the family's 1533-position model. The record is from RNAcentral.